UACGUAGGGGGCAAGCGUUGUCCGGAUUUAUUGGGCGUAAAGAGCGUGUAGGCGGUUUGGUAGGUCCGCUGUGAAAACUCGAGGCUCAACCUCGAGACGCCGGUGGAAACCAUCAGGCUAGAGUCCGGAAGAGGAGAGUGGAAUUCCUGGUGUAGCGGUGAGAUGCGCAGAUAUCAGGAAGAACACCCGUGGCUAAGGCGGCUCUCUAGUACGGUACUGACGCUGAGACGCGAAAGCGUGGGGAGCGAACAGG
Molecule: ribosomal RNA, 253 nt
Filed under: uncultured bacterium
Lineage: Bacteria
Description: partial 16S ribosomal RNA
Rfam family: Bacterial small subunit ribosomal RNA
Source: RNAcentral